Molecule: ribosomal RNA, 468 nt
Filed under: uncultured bacterium
Lineage: Bacteria
Description: partial 16S ribosomal RNA
Rfam family: Bacterial small subunit ribosomal RNA
Source: RNAcentral
GACGAACGCUGGCGGCGUGCUUAACACAUGCAAGUCGAACGGAAAGGCCCUGCUUUUGUGGGGUGCUCGAGUGGCGAACGGGUGAGUAACACGUGAGUAACCUGCCCUUGACUUUGGGAUAACUUCAGGAAACUGGGGCUAAUACCGGAUAGGAGCUCCUGCUGCAUGGUGGGGGUUGGAAAGUUUCGGCGGUUGGGGAUGGACUCGCGGCUUAUCAGCCUGUUGGUGGGGUAGUGGCUUACCAAGGCUUUGACGGGUAGCCGGCCUGAGAGGGUGACCGGCCACAUUGGGACUGAGAUACGGCCCAGACUCCUACGGGAGGCAGCAGUGGGGAAUAUUGCAAAAUGGGCGGAAGCCUGAUGCAGCAACGCCGCGUGCGGGAUGACGGCCUUCGGGUUGUAAACCGCUUUCGCCUGUGACGAAGCGUGAGUGACGGUAAUGGGUAAAGAAGCACCGGCUAACUACGUG